CCCGCUGAACUUAAGCAUAUCAAUAAGCGGAGGAAAAGAAACCAACCGGGAUUGCCUCAGUAACGGCGAGUGAAGCGGCAAGAGCUCAAAUUUGAAAUCUGGCCUUCUGGUCCGAAUUGUAAUUUGUAGAGGAUGCUUCGAAUAUAGCCUGGGUCUAAGUUCCUUGGAACAGGAUGUCAUAGAGGGUGAGAAUCCCGUAUGCGACUCGGUGUCUAUGUUCAUGUGAAGCUCCUUCAACGAGUCGAGUUGUUUGGGAAUGCAGCUCAAAAUGGGUGGUGAACUCCAUCUAAAGCUAAAUAUUGGCGAGAGACCGAUAGCGAACAAGUACCGUGAGGGAAAGAUGAAAAGCACUUUGGAAAGAGAGUGAAACAGUACGUGAAAUUGUUGAAAGGGAAACGCUUGAAGUCAGUCGCGUCGUCCGAGACUCAGCCUCGCCUCGGCUUGGUGUACUUCUCGGACGACGGGUCAGCAUCAAUUUUGCCCCUUGGAUAAUGGCGAGGGAAAUGUGACACCUUUGCGGGUGUGUUAUAGUCUCUAGUCGCAUGCAAGGGUCGGGAUUGAGGAACUCAGCACGCGCCUUCGGGCGUCGGGGUUCGCCCACGAUACGUGCUUAGGAUGUUGGCGUAAUGGCUUUAAACGACCCGUCUUGAAACACGG
This 657-nucleotide ribosomal RNA is filed under the name uncultured fungus. Its description in RNAcentral is "eukaryotic LSU rRNA". It matches the Rfam family "Eukaryotic large subunit ribosomal RNA", at positions 24 to 664 of the family's 3401-position model. The record is from RNAcentral. Lineage: Eukaryota; Fungi.